RNAcentral lists this long non-coding RNA (7705 nucleotides) under Sus scrofa (pig). Its description in RNAcentral is "lncRNA (ENSSSCG00050031816.1)". The record is from RNAcentral. Lineage: Eukaryota; Metazoa; Chordata; Mammalia; Artiodactyla; Suidae.
UAGAAAGAGAGAGGGGCCACUCUUAGCCUGCAGCGGCCAGUGAGCCAGAGGAGAUGGCCUUGAACAGCCUGGUCUAACCUCCUACCUUCUGCUAAUGGAGAGAACUUUAAAGCAAAACCUUCAAGUUCUCAGCCUCCUUUAUGACCAGACACGGCCAUGUAACCCAGCGCUGGCCAACAAGUGAUGGAUGGGACCCCCUGGGGAGAGCUUCCUUCUCCUAAUAAAAAGGCUAAGGCUACCGAGGAGACUGCAUGUGACUUUCAGCCUUUGGCUCUACGCCUCUUUCUGCCUAGAAUAUGGAUGUGAUGUCUGGACGCUCAGCAGCCAUUCUGUGAAAUGAGGAGACACAAACACGGAGAGCAACAGAGCAGGAAGCCAAAAGGAACCUGGCCAGGAUGACCCCCCGAGGACCCUGCCAGCCCUGGGCUGUCUGGUCCCGAGCUUCUGUGCUGUACUGAGUGUCAACAGCGGCUUGUGGAGUCCAGAGAAGCCGCAACCCAUUUUGGGAGCAGGUAUGAUUUUGGGGGCAGGGGGUGCCUAAAGGCAGCUCCCCCCAGUAUCUGCCACCUCCUUCUCCUGGGACCUGGGUGUGGCUCAUGGCACAUCCUCAGGGACUGGCCUCCCUGGUGGUGGCAUCAAUAGGAAUUCUGGAGGCUGGAAGUCUGAAACUGAGGUGUCAGCAGGGCUACGCUCCUCCUGCAGGCUCCAGGGUGGAUCCAUCCCAACUCUGCCAGCUCCUGGGGGCCCAGGUGGCUCUGUGGCUGGCCAAGCAUGCCUCCCAUCUCCGUCUCCAUCUUCACCUGGCCUCCUCCUCUGUGUCCCCUCCUCUUGUUUGUUUGUGUGUUUGUUUUUGCUUUUUAGGGCCACACCCAUGGCAUAUGGAAGUUCCCAGGCUAGGGGUCUAAUCGGAGCUGUAGCUGCCGGCCUCCACCACAGCCACAGCAACGUGGGAUCUGAGCCACGUCUGUGACCUACACCGCAGCUCACAGCAAUGGCGGAUCCUUAACCCACUGAGCAAGGCCAGGGAUCAAACCCGCAUCCUCAUGGAUCUUGGUUGGGUUUGGUAACCGCUGAGCCACGAAGGGAACUCCCCCUCCUCACCUCAGUCAUGAGGUUUAGAGCCCACCCUAAACCUAAACCCAGGACUGCAGCUCCUGAUCUCUGACUAAUUACAUCAGCAGAGACCUUAUUUCUAGACAAGGUCACAUUCUGAGGUUCUGGCUAGACAUGAAUUUCAGUCCCUCGGGGACCUUGGUCAGGGGUGGGCCCCAGAGGCUGCUUUCCCUGCACCCCAGCCCCGCCCCAGGUGAAGGUCACGGUGCUGAGCUCAGUGCCUGGGCCGCUGGCUCUCUGGGCUCAGCAGCUGCCAGGAGGCGGCCAGGCUCUGCCGUCGGUGUGGACGGCAGCUCUGCUCUGAUCUUCCCGUAAUUACACUUCCAGCCCAGAGAACAUCCCCCCGGCUUUUCCCAGAGACGCGUGCACAGCGCUGAUAAUGAGUUCUGCCUUCCCAAAUUACCUGUUUCUGGGGUUGGAAGUAAUUUUCUGCCUGGGAACAAUUAACUUGAGGACCUGAGAAAAGCUGCACAUGGGGGAAGGAGGCGGUGGAAGAGUCUGAAGAGGACUGAGAGUGGGAGGCACGCCUGGCCCGAGCCCUGGGCCACGUCGGCUUGCGGGGCUGCAGGAACUCAGUCACCCUCGAGGUCCCUCCUGCUGCCCCCUUGAUGGUCUGGCAGCUUCUACAACGUUCCGCUCUGCAGUGCAGGCUGCGUGGAGGCGCUCGGGGUGGGGAGAGCGGCCCUGGGAGCCAGUUGCUGUGGAUGCAAAUCCUGACUUAGGCACCGGAGAGCAGGAGGUGUGGCCAACCUUAGCUUCCUCUUCUGGAAAAGGGGGUAAGGUGACCUACCCAGGCCCCAGGCACAGGGGCUCGUGGACAAUGUGUGCGAUGUGUGAGCAGGUGCCUGGCACAGAGCAGGUGUUCAGGAAGAGCAGCACGUCCUCCUGGGAAAGCUGACGUGUGAACGAAGGAAGGGAGACAUCGGGGUACAAGAGGUACAAGAUCUGGGGUCAGUCCCUUCUAGCAGCUCAACGAGCACGUCAUCAAAUAUCCCUGAGCAAGUAUAAAACGGGGUCGGACUAGCAGGGCUGUUAAGAGGUGAGGUGAGAUGUGCAAAUAGCCUGCAAACUGUAAAGUGCCGUCCCUUGGCACUUUAUAAAUAAUAAUCAGAAAACACCAAUCGCUGUGCUCAGCCAGGCCAGCACUGCUCUUCUUGUUACUCCAGUGGUUCGCAAAGCGGGAUUCCUGGGCUCAGCCAGCAUCAGGCCGGAACUUGCUAGAAAGGUACAUUUAGGGCCUACUCCAGGCCCACCGAAUCAGAAACCCUGGAGUGGGGCCGGCGAGUCCUCCGGAGGUUCUGUGGGUGCUGAAGUUUGGGCGCCUCUGUUUCACGUGGGCUUCCCUCUCCUGCUCAGAGCCUCAUAAGUGCACUCACCUUCUCCCCUGUGCCUCCCCUCCCCCAGCCUCUCCCAGAGCCACCGCUGCAGGCUUGGUGUCUUCCAAACGAAAGGCAGGCUGUGAUUCUACCCCCUGGGAGGACCCCCUAGCUAUUGGCACUCCAGUGUGUUCCAGGUAGAAGCCGCCAGUGAAAUCCUGACAACCCCGGCACGGUGCUGGCAGCAGGUGUUUGUGGAUGUGGGCGUGAGCUCUGUCCCCCGCCCCCUGGCCAGGGACAAUUUGGAAACUGGCUGAGGAAUCAGAAUCUAGGAUCCUGAUUUUCUCUCUGCCACCACCUCCAGGGGACCACGGACAUGGCCUGUCCUCCGGGCCUCAGUUUCCACAUCCAUGGCAUGGGAACGCUGGUCUGGAGGGGCUCAGUCCCUUCUGUGAUGGUUUUGUCUUCCCAGCACGGGCCUGGAGCCACCUCCGCUGGCUCUGCUCCUGACCCGAGGCGGGAGACCCUUUAACCUCUGGGCUCAGUAUGGGGGGGUGGUCUCUGCUCUGGCUCCUGCUGGAGAUCCGAUGGGGAGGUCUAGGCAGGGGGGCAGGGGCCAUGUCAGCUGCAGGACUGAGGUGUCCUGUGUGUCCCGUAAUGAGAUGCCCCUCCUCUAGGCCCUAGAUGGCUCCUGGCACCUUCUUCCCGAAGCUGCUUCCUAAACAGCAUCUACAUCAGUAUUUCUUAAAAACCCCAAUGUCCCCGUUAUGCGGGGAGCAGAAGGUUCAAGUGCAGGAGGGGAGCAGAUGGUUCAAGAGCAGGAGGGGGCACAGAGAGGAGGCCCCUGGUGGAAACAUGUGGCCCCUGCCCCAAAGGGGUCCUAGCAGGAACUCUAGCUCUCAGCAGAGGAGUUAAAUAAAUUUUUUUUUUUUUUUGGUCACCCGCUGUCUUAUGGAGUACCUGGUCAGGGGUUGGAUCUGAGCCGUGCUUGUAACCUACACCCCUGGCAAGGCUGGAUCCUUUAACCCACUGUGCCAGGCUAGGUCCUAGUGCUGCAGAGAUGCCACCAAUCCCUUUGUGCCACAACGGGAACGCCAGGAGCUAAAUAUCAUAUUGACACCCGCUCCCCACAUUUGGCUGGCAUUCUGCUAUUUGUAAGUCCAUUCAGGCAUUGACACAGAGCCUGCCAGGCCAGCCAUGGUGUCCGGACUCAGCUAUACAGCGGGCUUGGCUUUUGCAUCCUUCUCCUGUAGGUGGCUUACUCCCACAAGGCAGUGCCUCCCCUUGUGGGGUCCCUCUUGUCCGCACUGUGGAGCAUCCUUCAGGGCAACAGUCUCAGGAUCCACUAGAGAAUCGCCCACAAUCAUUUGCUGGCUGCACCAUUGGCUCUGUUUGCUGAGGCUCCGGGGCAGACGCAGGGCUGGGACCUCUCGUGUCUCAGGUUGUUAAGUCCUUACAACAAAUCCAAGUCAGAGAUUUCCUCUCCUUUUUAGAUUUGAACACGUGGAGGCACAGAGAGGUGAAGUGACUUGCCCAAGGUCACAGCGCUGGUGCGUGAGGGGCUCCAGCAUCCGUGCUUUAACUCUCUGUGAUGAUGAUCUGGUGCCCAGGUGGGCCUCCCUUCUCCCCAUUCUUCUGCACGGAGCAGCCUCCCAACUCUCCCCUCUGAGAUGCCCUGGGGGGCCGCCUCUGGUCCCCGCAUGUUUGCAGGAGGCAGUGCCUCUGUUCUGGGCAACCUCACCAUCGCGCUCUGGCCCAUCUUCCAGCCUGGGGCUGGUGGCUGUGGGUCUCUGAGUGCCUGGCUGCACCUCUGGGGGGUGGUCCCUCUCACGGGGAUGAGAGAGGGUCCCCCGAUAUUGAACAUCUUUGUAGCAGACCUCCGCUGGCACACAGGCACCUGCCCGCCUCACAGGCUCCUCGGGCUCCAUCCCAGCUCACCAUCCACCAGGCUUCCGCACAGGGCAUCCAGAGUGGCCGUGCCUCCAAGGCUUCCGGGGCCUGCGGAAUCAACAAGGAGCCGUUUCCUCUGGCAUAUCCGUCCCCAUGGGACCUGGGUCACAGGCCAGUCCCAUCCACCGCCUCCCUCCUCCGGGGCUGGGAACUGGCUUUCUUCCUCCACGCCGCUCUGGCCGCCCCGCUUCCCCGUGACUCCUCCAUCCCCCGAGCUCCGCCCUGACUCAGGGCCUUUGCACUGGCUCUUCUCUCUGCCUCGAAUGUCGCCUGCCCUGAGCCCCCUUCCCUGCUCAGCGCGUCUUAAGUGGCCUCUCACCCCUUCCGUCUGUUGACCAAUAAGCUGUUCUCUCGGCAUCUUAUCAGUGUGUGCGGACUUGGUCAUCUUUUUCUUCCUCUUCCCCCUCCUCCUGCUCCUCCUCUCCCGCCCCCUUCCUCCUUUUCUUCUCCCCCGCCAUCGUCUGAACCCCCCAGGAGAAUGUCAGAUCCGUGAGAACGUGGCCUUGACGGCUUAGUCCGCGGCCGCAGACCCACCACCUAGCAUGGGGCUCAGUAAGCACCCAGCCAGCGUUUGCUGGCCUGGAGUUCGGGCAAGCGGGAGGGUCUUGGCCCCAGACUCCACUUAACCCUCUGGCCUGGACCAGUCCUGGCGCCUCCCUGAACCUCAGCUGCUGCUUCUGCAACCUCUGGGGAGCAGACCGAGCUGACAUGAGGACGCUGCUGAAGGGGUGGGAGGACCUCGCAGAUGGCACCCUUACCUCCCAGCCGGGGAGCAGCAGAAGUUCCCUGUCUGCUGGGCUUUCAGCCGCCCGCCCGCCACAGAGGUGUCCACAACAGGUUUCUUUUGAUUUAGGGCGGGAGACCGUCUCCUUUUGGGGUGGCGGUGGCACUCAUGGUCUAUUUCCUGCUCAGUGCUGGGUGCCAAGUUGGCAUUAAUGUAGAAAAAUUAGUAUUAUCAGGACUGCCUUUGGAGCCAUUUCUCGCCCUGGAGUCCUUGACGUGUUAAUUAAACUUGAUAAAUGCUCUUGUCUAAAGAUAACUUUUGAACAAUGGAUCCAGUCACCCACUUAUUAGUCGGGUACAUGCUCCUGCAAAUUGCCGAGGCGGCGUUCUGAGAUGCUGGGGCCCGCGCUGGGACCGAGGGUACCCGGGGAGAGAGGGAUGCUGUGGGGCUCAGCGCAGGUCUCCUGGUUGGGGCGUGGGGGGGCGCAGGGAGGUGGUGGCAGCUGUGGACCAGGCAGAGCAGAGGAGUGGUGGGAACCCUCCUGGUGGGAACUGACCUUCUUCUACUUGCAGCUCCCAUCACAAGCCCCCUUCUGCUCAGCAUCUAUCUCAUCACCAUGACAACGCACCCCAUGCCGAGCAACACUGGGGGAGGUGGGAGAGCCAAGAGAUAGGACCUUUGCCCUCUAGGUGGAGUCAUUAUCCUGGGGGCCCGUCCUGGGGUGACAUCAUUUUCCCUGCUGUUCUGCCCCCCACCCCACCUUCCGCAUACCCCAGCAUGGGAAGCUGUGAUGCCCAAAGCUUCUCCCAGGAUCUCGGCAACAAAAUGGCUUUCCCAGAGUCUGGCAUUGGGACCCCAGGGUCCCAUCACUGCAGCACCCUGAAUUCCAUCAAACUCUGCUUCAGCCCCCCUCCCCCAAGAUGCCAUGUGCAGAGACACGAGGGACUGCAGGAUGUCACUGAGGAGCGAUUACAUGGCUCCAAAGACCCCAAAGGGACACAGGGCACUGACUAGAGGAACAAGUGAAGAAAGAUGCAGGAUGCCGUCAUGAGUCACCAAGACCUCCUGGAGCAGCCCCUUCACCGGACCGCCAGCCUGUGUCCAUGUCUUUGACCCUGGCUGAUUCAGAGCCCCCCGUCCAUACACACACUCGCUGGGGCAGUGGGACGAGGCGGGCAGCCUGGGUUCCAGUCCUGUCCUACAGUUUCUUUACAGCUGUGUGGCCAGAGGCAGAUCACUUUGCCUCUCUGAGCCUCAGCGUUCUCAGGCGGCCCUGCCUCUCUUCAGGGGCAAAGGGAUGCCCAUGGCUUUGUGACCUGCUUUGGCCAACAGACUGAAGCAGAAGUGGCCACGAGCCCGGGCUGAGCCCAGGUCUCUCGCAGCGUGUGUCUUCCACACCUUGUGCUGUUGCCAUGGGAACGCCUCCAGCCGGGCCGUGUGCCAGCUGCCCGCCAGCCACGUGGCUGAGCCUGGCCAAGACCAGAAGAACCUCACCACAGAGCCCAGCCUGAAGUGCCGAACUGUGAGCCAAGCACACAUGUCUGAAGCCCCUCAGUUCUGGGGCGUUUUUUAUGCAUUUAUUAUCAUGGCAAUAAGCACAGGGUUUUUUUUAAGUUAAUUAUUUAUUUUGAUUGAAGUGGAGUUGAUUGACAGUUUCAGGUGUGAAAGGUAUCCAGCUAUACCUCUAUUACUUAUUCCUGUUCAUUUUCUUUCUAUCACAGGUCUUAUAGGAUAUUGACUAUGGCUGCCUCCGCUGUAUCAGAUCUGAGCCGAAGUUGUGACCUACACCGCAGCUGCAGCAACACCAGAUCCUUAACCCACUGUGCCAGACUGGGGAUCAAGCCUGCGUCCUGGCGCUGCAGAGACGCCACUAAUCCCGUCGCGCCGCAGCGGAAACUCUGGGAUUACCUACGUCUUGGAAAGAAUUUCUUCCAGGCUCCGGUCCCAGCUCUCGAGGGGAACGUCCUCACUCUGCCUUCACAACCAUGAAGAUAACGAGGCAGGUACCAGCAGUAGCCCCAUUUUACAGAUGAGGACACUGAGGCUCAGAGGGGAUACGGCACCUGCUGGAGGUCAGCAGCCAGUACGGGGCGGAGGACGGCUUCAUGCCUGGCUAUUGUUAGCAUCUCCGCGUGUGCCGCACUCGGGAACUGACGCUGCCUGGGGAAAGGGUGAGAUCAUCCGCCCGGAGGUCCACGGUCACCUUUGCACGAGGCUCAACGAGGAGCGAAGAGCGGGACCUCCCUUCCAGCCGCAACCCCGGGGCGGGUGCAGGGCCCGCACAGGGUCAGGACAGGCUCGGGGGUGGGGAGCAGUGUGGGGAGGGACGAGCCCCGCCUCUUCUAUGGGCAUCUUCUGCAGGCCCUUCUCCCCCACGUUGGGGCCACUGGGAGCGCUCAAGGCGUCGGCCCCUGGACCUCCCUCUGGGAUCAGUUGUCCCUGCCCAUGGUGCUAUGCCGUCUCCGAACCCCUCAGCUGUUAGGGGGGUGAGUGGACGUUUAACCUGGGCCAGCAGUCAGGGGUUCCAUCUCUCCAGGGACUGGCUCAGGAAUGGGCACAUGGUCCAGGCAAGAUGUGGAAAUAAAGACUCUCCACCUUAAAC